UACGUAGGGGGCAAGCGUUGUCCGGAAUCAUUGGGCGUAAAGAGCGUGUAGGCGGCCCGGUAAGUCCGCUGUGAAAGUCCAGGGCUCAACCCUGGGAUGCCGGUGGAUACUGUCGGGCUCGAGUCCGGAAGAGGGGUGUGGAAUUCCUGGUGUAGCGGUGAAAUGCGCAGAUAUCAGGAGGAACACCAAUGGCGAAGGCAGCACUCUGGGACGUGACUGACGCUGAGACGCGAAAGCCAGGGGAGCAAACGGG
RNAcentral lists this ribosomal RNA (253 nucleotides) under uncultured bacterium. RNAcentral's name for it is "partial 16S ribosomal RNA". It matches the Rfam family "Bacterial small subunit ribosomal RNA", at positions 524 to 776 of the family's 1533-position model. The record is from RNAcentral.